Molecule: ribosomal RNA, 403 nt
Filed under: uncultured bacterium
Lineage: Bacteria
Description: partial 16S ribosomal RNA
Rfam family: Bacterial small subunit ribosomal RNA
Source: RNAcentral
GACGAACGCUGGCGGCGUGCCUAAUACAUGCAAGUCGAACGCAGUGGGGACGGGUGAGUAACACGUGGGUAACCUCCCAUCAGAGGGGAUAACACUUGGAAACAGGUGCUAAACCGAUACUGAUGGAUGGACUCGCGGUGCAUUAGCUAGUUGGUGAGGUAACGGCUCACCAAGGCCACGAUGCAUAGCCGGCCUGAGAGGUUGAUCGGCCACACUGGGACUGAGACACGGCCCAGACUCCUACGGGAGGCAGCAGUGGGGAAUCUUCGACAAUGGACGAAAGUCUGACCGAGCAACGCCGCGUGAGUGAAGAAGGUUUUCGGAUCGUAAAGCUCUGUUGUUAGAGAAGCGGUAUCUAAAGAGGAAGCCACGGCUAACUACGUGCCAGCAGCCGCGGUAAUAC